RNAcentral lists this small RNA (202 nucleotides) under Arabidopsis thaliana (thale cress). RNAcentral describes it as "ATSL029540". Lineage: Eukaryota; Viridiplantae; Streptophyta; Magnoliopsida; Brassicales; Brassicaceae. The record is from RNAcentral.
AUACCAUAUUUAUGUAUAUAAAGCAAUAGAACAUCAGAUAAACAAAUGAUUAUUAGAAAUCUAUGAAUAAUGACGGCAAAAUUAGGUGAGUUAAUUUUUAAAAAUGAGUAUUUGUUACUUUUGAAAAAUAUUAUGCACAUACACAUUUAAUUAUGUACAUACAUGUUUGUUGGUGAGUUAAAUUUGUUGAGAUAAAAUUAUU